GCCCUUGUGGCCUAAUUGGUUAAGGUGUUAUCCUCCGGUUAACGAGUUAAGAUAAUGAUUGCGGGUUCGAGUCCCGCCUCGGGCU
This 85-nucleotide transfer RNA is filed under the name Debaryomyces hansenii. It matches the Rfam family "tRNA". From Rfam's summary of the family: Transfer RNA (tRNA) molecules are approximately 80 nucleotides in length. Their secondary structure includes four short double-helical elements and three loops (D, anti-codon, and T loops). The record is from Rfam by way of RNAcentral. Lineage: Eukaryota; Fungi; Ascomycota; Pichiomycetes; Serinales; Debaryomycetaceae.